GACGAACGCUGGCGGCGUGCCUAAUACAUGCAAGUUGAGCGCUGAAGGUUGGUACUUGUACCAACUGGAUGAGCAGCGAACGGGUGAGUAACGCGUGGGGAAUCUGCCUUUGAGCGGGGGACAACAUUGGGAAACGAAUGCUAAUACCGCAUAAAAACUUUAAACACAAGUUUCAAGAUUGAAAGAUGCAAUUGCAUCACCCAAAGAUGAUACCGCGUGUUAUUAGCUAGUUGGUAAGGUAAAGGCCCACCAAGGCAAAGAUACAUACCCGACCUGAGAGGUGGUCGGCCACAUUGGGAAUUGGACACGGCCCAAGCUCCUUCGGGGAGCCGCAGUAAGGGAUCCUCCGGCAUGGACCGAAAUCUGACCGGGGCACGCCGCGUGAAUGGAGGAGGUUUUCCGAUCGGAAAACUCUGUUGAUAAAGAAGAAAGUUAGGGGGAGUUGAAAGCUCAUCAAGUGACGGUAACUACCCAGAAAGGGACGGCUAACUACGUG
Molecule: ribosomal RNA, 496 nt
Filed under: uncultured bacterium
Lineage: Bacteria
Description: partial 16S ribosomal RNA
Rfam family: Bacterial small subunit ribosomal RNA
Source: RNAcentral